RNAcentral lists this ribosomal RNA (253 nucleotides) under uncultured bacterium. RNAcentral describes it as "partial 16S ribosomal RNA". It matches the Rfam family "Bacterial small subunit ribosomal RNA", at positions 524 to 776 of the family's 1533-position model. The record is from RNAcentral.
UACGUAGGGGGCAAGCGUUGCUCGGAAUCACUGGGCGUAAAGCGCACGUAGGCGGCUUUCUAAGUCAGGGGUGAAAUCCUGGAGCUCAACUCCAGAACUGCCUUUGAUACUGGAGAGCUUGAGUCCGGAAGAGGUGAGUGGAACUCCGAGUGUAGAGGUGAAAUUCGUAGAUAUUCGGAAGAACACCGGUGGCGAAGGCGGGUCUCUGGGCCGAUACUGACGCUGAGGAGCGAAAGCGUGGGGAGCGAACAGG